CCGACCCCUGGUCUACGGCGGCUGCGAUUUGCAAAACCUCGUCGGGCGAAACACCGGGCGCGGGCACGGUUUCGACGACCUUGGGUUGGCCCA
This 93-nucleotide transfer RNA is filed under the name Ensifer sp. M14. RNAcentral's name for it is "tRNA-Cys". The record is from RNAcentral. Lineage: Bacteria; Pseudomonadati; Pseudomonadota; Alphaproteobacteria; Hyphomicrobiales; Rhizobiaceae.